AUGCUUUGCUUACGGUCUGCCUAUCAUUAAAUCGAUGAAUUUCAAGAGGCGUGAGAUUGAUUGUGCUGCGCUUUAAAAAUCACUGCAUCGAAAUAAUACGUGGGCUGUCUGGUUACAAGUGCCACGCCCACUGAGCGACAUGUGCAACAUGAGUUGGCAUUCCAAUGAAGUGUGCAACGACAGUCAGAAGUCACUUCACUCGACUUGUGGUAAAGUUUGCCAUGGGCUUCUUAGUACACCGACUCACAAAGCUCAAUCUCCUUUUUCCUUGUGUGUGUGUGUGUGUGUGUUAUUAUCGUUUCCGCUUCCGCUACAUGGCACACAAAGACAACGGGACUGCAAUGGCGGAAACAGCAAAACACAAUUUCACAAAGAGUCUUUGACAUUUAUUUAUCAUUGCACAAUGACAAUUCUUCUAUUUUUGACAAGUCAUAAAAAGAGCACAUGACAACUGCAAUGAUGACAGCUCCAAACUGCAACUGCGUCUACAACUACAACAGCAAAGCACAGCCGAGCACAAACUUCACUGCCAUCACAGCUUUGUCUGCCCCCGCGGACAUGGGACAAUGUCUGGGCCGGACAAUGACUUCAAACGCCGCCGGCUGCUGUCAUCGUAGACGAUUUUCGCUCGCCAUAUUGCAGCCAAGUAUUUGACGAAAACACGCAGCAGAUGCAACGCCAGCAAAAUAAUGCCCGACAGCAGUCCGAAAACAUCCAGCGAAUAGUAGCUAACGAAACUG
Molecule: long non-coding RNA, 740 nt
Organism: Drosophila sulfurigaster albostrigata
Lineage: Eukaryota; Metazoa; Arthropoda; Insecta; Diptera; Drosophilidae
Exons: 3
Source: RefSeq, a predicted model, not a curated record